AGCUCCCUUAUUUCCUGUCCUCAAAUACUGCAAUCCCACAUAAGGAUAACAAAUAAAGGAUUUAUCUACUAAACAACUGAAAAUAAGAAGAGAGCAUUUUUGUAGAUCAUUCCCUGAAUUGGUGCCCGUAUGUAAGAUUUCCAUAUUUAAAGAUACCAAAUGAGGAUGCUGUUUAGCAGAUAGCACCUUAUUUGGUGUCCUUAAAUAUGGCAAUCCCACAAAGGAUAGCUAAUAGAGGA
Molecule: non-coding RNA, 239 nt
Organism: Pelobates cultripes (western spadefoot toad)
Lineage: Eukaryota; Metazoa; Chordata; Amphibia; Anura; Pelobatidae
Source: the annotation of a GenBank genome assembly